This 751-nucleotide long non-coding RNA is filed under the name Triticum aestivum (bread wheat). RNAcentral describes it as "long non-coding RNA (TAES_LNC000475)". Lineage: Eukaryota; Viridiplantae; Streptophyta; Magnoliopsida; Poales; Poaceae. The record is from RNAcentral.
GUAAAUCUACUGUAUGAUCAAUCAAAACACGUUUUGUCCGAAGUCCAAACUUAAUGGUAAACAAGAGGCUAAUCUUGCUAUUUUUGUUUGUUAUGUGGUUUGCACUUUCUGUUUCCUUGAACAGUUUACAGUUCAUCUAAUUUACAUUUUUAUGUUAACUUUAGCAAUUAAUUUACCUCAAACAAGGUAAUUAAUAUGAUAAUUAUCCCCUGUGUAUACCACAAGUAAGUAACUUACUGUAAUUAUGUUAAGAAAUUAGAAUGUUUGUGACCGACUGUUUAAUAAGAUGCUCUUUUCACAAGGUGUGAUAUUGUGGCAUAUUUACCCUGGAGCUAGCAUAUAUAUGGAGCUGACUUUGUUCCUGGAGGUGAGCAUAUAUUGUUGAUCUUCUCAUGUCAAUUGCAGCAGUUCCUUGAUUCACAAUUUAUAUAGUGUGGUAUAGUGGUUAUAUUUGGAGGUUUAUCCCUGUGAAAUAAUCACCGCAAGGUGAGUACUUUCUGCAGCUAAUGUGUUAUGCAUAAGCUCAGUGUGUUUGCUCAAUUAGCUACUGCUCAAUUAAAAUUGGUGACCUUCCAUUGAUGAUAGGUUUAGAAAUUAUGCAUUGAGUAACUGGACCUGACCUGGAGUACUUGGUUAAUUCAGUGAUCUUUUAACAAAAUUUUAACUGAAUUAUUUUGGGCAAUGGAGUACUGAAUUUUAACUGAGUAACUUGCACUUGCAUAUGCACUAGACCACUUGUAAAUUCUUUGGC